RNAcentral lists this ribosomal RNA (269 nucleotides) under uncultured prokaryote. RNAcentral describes it as "partial 16S ribosomal RNA". It matches the Rfam family "Bacterial small subunit ribosomal RNA", at positions 524 to 792 of the family's 1533-position model. The record is from RNAcentral.
UACGUAGGUGGCGAGCGUUGUCCGGAUUUACUGGGCGUAAAGGGAGCGUAGGCGGACUUUUAAGUGAGAUGUGAAAUACCCGGGCUCAACUUGGGUGCUGCAUUUCAAACUGGAAGUCUAGAGUGCAGGAGAGGAGAAUGGAAUUCCUAGUGUAGCGGUGAAAUGCGUAGAGAUUAGGAAGAACACCAGUGGCGAAGGCGAUUCUCUGGACUGUAACUGACGCUGAGGCUCGAAAGCGUGGGGAGCAAACAGGAUUAGAUACCCUGGUA